RNAcentral lists this ribosomal RNA (425 nucleotides) under uncultured bacterium. RNAcentral describes it as "bacterial SSU rRNA". It matches the Rfam family "Bacterial small subunit ribosomal RNA", at positions 359 to 786 of the family's 1533-position model. The record is from RNAcentral.
AUAUUGUCAAUGGCGAAAGUCUAACCAGCCAUGCCGCGUGAAGGAUUAAGGCCCUCUGGGUUGUAAACUUCUUUUAUCUGGGACGAAAAAAGGGUAUUCUUACCCACUUGACGGUACCAGAGGAAUAAGCACCGGCUAACUCCGUGCCMGCAGCCGCGGUAAUACGGAGGGUGCAAGCGUUWUCCGGAUUCACUGGGUUUAAAGGGUGCGUAGGUGGAUAUUUAAGUCAGUGGUGAWAUCUCCGAGCUUAACUCGGAAACUGCCAUUGAUACUAUUUAUCUUGAAUGCCNGGGAGGUGAGCGGAAUAUGUCAUGUAGCGGUGAAAUGNUUAGAUAUGACAUAGAACACCAAUUGCGAAGGCAGCUUACUACGGGGUGAUUGACAGUGAGGCAAGAAAGCGUGGGGAUCAAACAGGAUUAGAUACC